RNAcentral lists this long non-coding RNA (21116 nucleotides) under Trifolium pratense (red clover). RNAcentral's name for it is "long non-coding RNA (TPRA_LNC005640)". The record is from RNAcentral. Lineage: Eukaryota; Viridiplantae; Streptophyta; Magnoliopsida; Fabales; Fabaceae.
CCCAAAUACUCCCGUUUUAGCUUUAACAGCUACAGCAACAGCUAGUGUAAAAGAAGAUGUUGUGCCUUUUUUGUUUGGGGUUUUUGGAUUGCAGAGAUCAAUUUUCGACCUAUGCGAAUGACCAUCCAGCACAGUUUGAGAACUUGGAAACCCAGGUACAUGAAUUUUCAUUUUUUAUGAUUUUGUAUUGACUUAUAGUUGUUCCAAUAUAAUCCCAGUCAUAUUGUUCCAUUUGUAUUAACGCCAUAAUUAUAGUAGUGUGGAGAGGAGAUGCUAGUAUAUACCAUUAUACUUCAAUUUAUCCGUUUUCACUUAUUGUACCUAGUUGCUGGAGGAAUGAAAUGUUAUUAUAUCAGCUAAAUUUAGUAAACAGAGGUUCUUCAUUGUGAGUUUAAUUUAUACACACAAAAACAUCUNNNNNNNNNNNNNNNNNNNNNNNNNNNNNNNNNNNNNNNNNNNNNNNNNNNNNNNNNNNNNNNNNNNNNNNNNNGCAAUAUUUUGGCAGAUUAGAUAAUCGCGGAUUUGGGAUGUUUAUUAGCAGUCUGAGGUGCAGCCGCAUAAGCAGUAGCACCUGAAUACCGUAAGAAGAAGGUACUGAUUUCUAUGAUUUUGGUUUAGGAAGUUAAUCUUGAUUAACUAAUAAGUGCCGAAAUUUGCCAUGGUUGUCAUUACAACAUUGACUUAACACUAUGUCAUAAAAGGCAUGCUCGUGUGGUUUGAUGCUGCGAUCAUGAGUUUAUAUACAACAUAGUGUUAAUUGAAAACCUAGGAUGUUGAGUAGUAUUUGUAUUAGUCUAAACUUUGAAGCACAUAAGGUGGAAAAACAUUAGCAGGGAUUAUAAUGUCUUAUUAAUUGAAAACAUGAAUGAAAUCGUUAACAAACAAAUUAACCGAUAAUAAAUAUCAGAUAUAAUUAUAAUAUAAACUACAAAAUAAGACAUUUAGCCAAACAUUAUAACAAAUAUGACGAUAAAUAUCACAUAAUUAUAAGUCUAUUGGCCUAAAUUAAAUGAAGAUGAGUGUAAACUAAACAUUAUCAAAAACCUCACGAUAAACAACAUUUGUAGUGGUAGUGCAGACUGCACCUUCNNNNNNNNNNNNNNNUUUUGUUUAUAGUCAUUGCUAGACAAAGAGUCAGUGGGAACUGUUUGCGCCUAAAUUUAAAUGGUAGUCCAGGAUCGCUAGGGAUCAAAUUCAACCUUGACACAAAUAUCUUGUCUCCUGCAUUUUUUCCUGUAAUUACUAUUGCACCAAUAAAUUUAUUCCCCAACUCAGUUAUAGUUAGCCUAGUGCCAUUACACAAACCAGCUGCUUGAUCAAUGUUCCUCAUAAGCAUUGCAGGACAACCGACUUUUAGUUUUAACCUGUGAUUAGGAAUUCCUGAACACUUGAUGUCGUUCAAAAAUUCUGGAGUAAACCAGUCAGGCUGAAUUUCUGAAUUUGAAUCUGACUGACAAACACUAUCACAACUCAGAUAUUCUCUCUCAGUACCCGGAAUGAUGGACAUAAGAUAAUCAUUAACAUGUUCAACAGAUUCCAGUGUCGGUGCAAGAAUUCCCCUAUCUUGGAAAUAUGAAGGAUUUUUCAUGUUACUCAAAAGAUCAGGAUAUGUAAAAUUAACCAAAGACAUCAGGGGAUCAUGGCAGUCUUGAAUAAGCAAGUCUUGAGGAAUAUCAAUGACAUAUUGACCAUUCUCAUCGGGACCAGUUUCACCAUUACCAAUAGAAAGUAUCCAAUCUGCAAAGUUUUUUAUUUCUUCUUCCUCAGAUUGAAUUGUGGAAGAGCCUAACCGCAUAUUUUUGGUAAGCCUUAGAACACGACAAUAACUCCAAAGGUCGGAUGAAUUAACUGUCGAGCUAAUAAUGUCUUGCCUAUUUCCCUUUCUGACAACAGGUAAAAUCUGUCUGAAAUCACCUCCCAACACAACUGUCAUUCCACCGAACGGUUUAGUAUUGGCUUCUGGAUUAACAGAAGACAUUAUAUCGCGCAUUGUCCUGUCAAAAGCCUCAAAACAAAACCUAUGCAUCAUCGGUGCUUCGUCCCAUAUGAUAAGUUUAGUUUUCCUAAGAAGUUCAGCCCUUACACUCUUCCAUUUAAUACCACAUGUAGACUGUUCAUUUAACAAAAAUGGGAGAGCGAAAGUAGAAUGAGCUGUUCGUCCCCCUGGCAACAACAACGCUGCAAUACCACUUGACGCCGCAUUAAGAACAAUGGAGCCUUUAGAUCUAAUGGCCGCAGAUAAUGUAUUCCACAAAAAUGUUUUACCAGUGCCUCCAUAACCAUAUAAAAAAAAGAAACCACCAACACCAGUCGAAACUGAAUCCAUAAUCUGGUUAUAAACAGACCUCUGCUCUUGAGUUAGCUUCAGCAACAUUGAUUCAUGUAAUUUGGCCAUUUCCUGUUUGUCAUAGUUUAAUUGAUCCAAAAUUAACUUGUUGUUGGUGUUGAUUGUUUUCAAUAUGUCGGGGUACGGCAUUGUUUUAAAUUUUUUGAGACUCUUCCCAUUUGAUUGAAGCAACUUCUCAACUUCAAUCAAACAUAAAGUCUUCAGAUCAUCAUCGCUGAGCCGAAAAUCUGUAAAUAUUUAACUUAAAUACUUAGAAUUGAAAAGAAUGUUUAAUCAUAUUCGGGAAAAAAGCACAAAAAUUUGAAAAAUAUACUAAAUACGGGUAAAAUACACACCUUGAUUGUGCAGCUGUUUUCUCUUUUCAUACAAAAUUCCAUCGGCCAACAACUUCCAUGUAGCGUUCCAAACAACAAAAGGAUUUGACAUUGUGUUCAUAAUUAAUAAAUAGGCAAAAAAACUUCUUAACUGAUGCCCAGAACCCAACUCACCUAUUUCAGUAAUUGCAUCAAUAAAUUCUCUAUCAUCAUCUAGUAAAUUCAGUUCACCACAUGCCUCUUGAUAAGUAUCAAAUUUUUUGCCAUUAACCGUUUUUAAACAUCUAUAACUCUUACAACCUCGCUGAACAUUCAACAAUAUACGCAUGUAAUGUAAUUGACCUACCCCAGGUGGAAUGUACUGCAGUCGACCCACUUGCUGGCCAUGCUGUCUUGGCUUCCACAUCCUUAAGUCCUUAUGAUACACAAAUUUAGAUGGAAACUCAACAUACGUUAAAUCUCGGCCUUCAGGGUACCGUCUGUUUGCAUCAAACCAGGCAAGAAACAUAGUAUUUCUAUCUUCAUUUCUCAUAACAACAGAAUCAAUGUCGUCAGAUUCUUCAAACAGAAUGGAUUGUUCAUUGGCCAAAUGGAAAGUCAGUUUCAAGACAGAAGGCCACUUCUGGUGAAUAUCAAAAGCUAAAAUCCUCCAAACUGCUUCACAGGGAGAAACAUAUCUACAAUCAUAGUAUUGCUUGAUUUCGUCCACUGGCUUUGAUGUAUCAUUCUUGUCCGAUGACCGCCAUAAUUGCAUCGUCGUCCUAUCAGGUCCUUUGUUGACAUAUUUAAACAAAUAUUUUAUGGAAUUAGACUUGUUACAAUACUCAACGUUAAUGUGACCUGCAUAUCUCAUUAACAGAUGAGGAUUGUAUGGGACAACAUAACGGUUAUCCAACUGCACACCCUUUUUUUCAAUUGACACUCCGGUAUCUCGACGCUUAUAGCGUGGGUAACCAUCUUCGUCAAUUGUGGUGGAGUUUUGAAACUUCUUAGGAAAAUAUUUAGAACAUCCUGUAUCUGUCAUGCAAGGUGACUUACGAUUAACAUCACCACACGGACCAUGAAUCAUGAAAGCAGAUACAGCUUGAGCCAAUCUUGGAUAAAGCGAUUUAUCUGGUAAUUCUGCUGAAAUAACCCUGUCAAUGUCGUUCCCUGUUUUCAGUUUAUUGCGUGAACUCAACCAAAUAAGAAUAUGUGCAUGUGGUAGUCCUCUCUUCUGGAACUCAACAGUAUACAUACCUACAUAAUACAAAUUUUAUACAUAAAUAUCGUGUAUUCAAAUUAUACUAUAAAAAUGUCAAAUAUAAAGACCGCAAUCUAGAUAGAAUCUGUUUAAGUUGAACGUACCAGCAUCAACUUCCCCAAACAACUGAUCUUUUUUUAGGUCAUUCAUCAACCUAUCCAACUUCAUUUUGAAAACACGACAAACAAUAUCUGGUCUGUCAGAUGCCAUCAAGUUCCUGGGUUUCAAAACAUCUUGAAUCUCACGCCAGUUUGAAUUGCAAGUAAUGGUGAUAAAUAAAUCUGGGUAACCAAAUUUUUUGCAAAUUGCCAUGGCAUCCUGACAAUUGUUGAACAUGUAACGCUUUCCACCUGUGAAAGAAGCAGGCAACACAAUUUUUUUACCAAUAUUAGAUGGGUCAGUUUCACCACUGCUAAUAGCUUCUUGUAACCCAGUUAAUAUGUCACAUCUUAUGGUUUUCUGGUUAUCCCUUGCCCAUUGUAGUCGCUGUGAUUCAAACAUAGUAAAACAAUCGACAACAAAUUGUUGGAAAAGUCUCCUUGAUAAGACAAUAUUACCAAAUUCCACAGUUCUAUCUUGUAUUCUAAAAGCAAUGAAUUCUCUCAUGGAUACAUAUUCCCUUUGCCGUGUCUUAUUAAGUUCUUCGGAAGAUCGAAUUUUAAUGUUCAGAUGAAAACCAUCCUCACCAUAUGGAAAUAGAAUAGGGUAUUGAAGUGGUAGAAACAUUGCUUGUGUUUCAUACAAUCUUUGAUACUCCCCACACGAAUUCUUAACAAUAAUGUCUCUACCCUUUUCAAGAUUUUUACAAUCUCCAAUAAUCAAUGCGGCAACCUCGUCACAAGUGGGAAGAUUGUGUGUUCUCGAGUCUUUUGAACGACCGCUGAAUAAUCUUAUGCAAAAGUCUUGACUUCCUCCACGUUCAACAUGGUCCCUUACUUGGCGAAACUUUUUUGCAUAUCGGCUAUGUGCAUCAACCAUUUGUUUGAGUUCUUCAACUAAAUUCACGUCCAGUGCCUUUGAUGGUUCAGUCGAACUGGACAACACAGAUAUAAAAUCAACAAACUGGAUAUUUAUUUAAUUGUAUUAAAAAACUAUUUAUAACUAUAAAUUAUAAACUAACCUGAAGUGCUUCAUCCUGUUCGAAGACUCGUUUUGAGUAUCAUAUAUGUAUAGCUGUGCAAACUUUGGCGUAGAAUUGCAUUGAGGAAGCAAACUGCCAAUGCGAUGGUAAUUUUGACCGCUCAAUAUAAAUUGCCAAGGUCCACCGCCGUCGUUUCUCUCUCGCUCGACCUUUCCACCGAGAGAUGUAUAGGAAAACAUACUGUUAUAGGCCCUGAAAUUCUGAAUAAAAUGGUUGCUUUUCGGAUGUGUACCAUUAAUUAAGUCGAACAAAAGUGCAGGGGGCUUAUCAAGGAAAGGUAUUUGAACAAAGCCCCUCUGACAGCACAAAGAGAACUCGAUGUUACGCGCUGUCAUAUUAAUUUCAGCACGUUCGUCAAACCACAUUCUUGAAAAACACCACUUGCAUUCAAAGGAUGGAUCACCAACAUCAACACAAACUGGAUAAGUAAAAAAAAAUGAAAAAGUAAGCUUGUAAUAAAAGUUAUAAAAUUUAAGUACGUAAAUAAUCAAAUAUAAGGAUGCUGGGUGAUAUUUACUUUCUGCUUCAGCCAUCUCAUACAUCAUUGAUCUAAUUAAUGGGUUUACAUCACGAACCUCAUCGUCUGUUUUAAAAAACAUGUUACAUACAAUCAUUAGUUUUUUGCGUUACAGAAUGAAAAUAGCUCUAUUGUGUACAUAUACAUAUAUAUAGAUUACCUUCAAAUUGAUCAUGUUGUUCGUCAGAAUCAAUCACACAUUCGUCUCCAAAAUCAAUUCUAAGAAUGGGGAUUGAUUUUGGCAAAUUAGAACUACGCAUAUUCGUUAUUGGCUGUGCAUUGCUCGAUGAUGGAUCAAUGACCUCAGAAUUUGGUGUAAGAUUGGUUAAACUACCUAACAAUGUAUUAAAUUGAACGGUAACAAAAAAAAAGUAGUAAGUGUUUAUCGUAAAAUAUUUGGGUAACAAUAACGAUAAUGAAUUAUAAGUAUAUUACCUGUUCCAAAAAAUGGACUUGAACAAACAUUUGACUUCUGUGAUGUUGGUGUUACCAAAUUCAUUGAUGAACCUAAAAAGAACGGUAUGUAUGAAAUUGCAAACUAAUAUAUAUGUUAAGUUUCGACAGAAAAAAAAAGAAUACACUUUUUAAGUAAAUAAUACAAUAUAAAAUACGUUCACCUGUUAAAAUUUCUCCAUUCUUAUUUGUUUGUUCAGAUAAUAUCCUCUUUUGUCUUUUGCUAGCAAGUGUAAUAUUCUGACGAUAUACUUCCGGAUUCUCUUGAACUACACAAAAUUGUGUCAGUAAAUAUGUUAAUUUUUCAUCACAAUCCAAAUAAUUCACGCAUAUACAUAAUUUAUAGAAAAAAAAUGUAACCAUUCGUUAUAUUUCGUAGCGGUGUCCUGUCCGUAUUAGAUACGAUUGUAUUAGAAUUCUCCGACUGAUGAAACUCUGACAAAUUAGUGUGUGAUGCUGGACAUAUAAACAGGGGAAAAGUUGUCAAAAAGAGUAAUAUCAAAGUAUGUAUGACAUAACAAAAUAAUAAUGAAUUUCGACCAUAAAAUAUAAAUUAUUACUUGAUUGCUUCUUUCUCUUAUUCGACAUAAUAUUUCUUCUUUUGUCUCUGGCAGCCUUUGAUAAAACCCUGGUUAUAUUUUUUAGUGUAUAGUGAGGAUCAGACAUUGUAAGAAUUGUUUUCGGUCUAUAACAACAACGUAAGUGGAUGGUUAGUCUGUUUGAGUUUAGCAAUUGAUGGGUAUUUUAUAAUACCCUUUUCAGUAUAAUUAAGUCACCCAAAUUCUCUCUUUUAGUUUCUGAUUUUUUAUAAGAAACACAUGGAAUGAUAUUAAUGCAUAUAAAAUGUGACUUAAUGAAUUCUGAUACGAUCAUGAUCAUAUGAUAAAACCGAAUCAGAUGAGUAUAAAUGCAUACCCUAUUUUCUGAUUUGUUAGUAAAUGUCGAUAUUGUUACCAAACUUAUCUAUCAAUCCCAUUCAUUACACUUAAUUAUCUAAGGAUAUGGCUUUACCACUGAGUAUAGCAGAGGCCAAUAAGGUCAUAUUUUCAAUUGUGAUUUAAAUUUUGUGCAUGAACUUAUUAUUAAGUCAUACCACUUCAAACUUACAACUUUGAGUAUAUAUCAUGACAGUGGCUGAUCACAGAAAGGGCAAAAACACAAUGAAUGAAGUACAAAUCUAUGUUUGAAGCUGCUAGGUCGAAGACCGCUAACUCUCUUCCAGACGGCAAUUCUUCUGCAUGUCAAAGUACUUAAAUGCAAGGUAUUUAAGAGCAAACUUCUCAUUCUUUGUGCUUUCAAACCCAUGUCUGUCGUCAAAUAGUUUUGUCAUUAUCUUUAUAUAAUAAGUAAAACAGUCAAAAUGUUUCAAAAAAAAAUUAAAACAGUCAAAAGAAUCAAGGAAACUGCUCAAAUUAGUCAAAUCUGAUGGAAACUAUUUUUAGGUUUUGAAUGAAAUGAGAAGUCUGAAAAAAGACAAUAAUUUUUUGGAAACAUAUUAUUAAAAUAUAACGUUAUUUACACUUGUUUUAAAUAUAUGUUUAGUCCUGAAAAUUUUAGCGAUAUUUGGUUUCAGUCCCUCUAAGUUUUAUUUGCUUUGCUUCCUUGCAAAGUCAAAAUUGUUUACUUUCGGUCUCUUGUCAUUUCUCCAUUAAAAAAAGAUGUGGCAAACAACAGUCUAUAUGGAGUUGGCAGUUGACGACUCAACACUUAAUUCUUAUCUAUAUCUCACCUAUUAUUUUAGCUUAAGUUUUUAUUAAACAAAACUAAAAUUAGAUUAGGGUUCCACACCGUCCUUUCUCCCAAACUGAAGUUGUCUUCACUCCUCUCUCUCUCCCCAUAGUAUUUGAAUAUGUAAGAUAACAUGAAUAUAUGUUAAAUGCAAAGAAUGCAUUUACAGUAAUUAACACUGAAAAAAGUACCUCAACGAAAGGAGAUAACGUGUUCAUUCCCAUUAGUUUGUAAAUCAACAACACUGCUGAAAACUCCUCACAAGAAUUAGCAAUAUUUCUCAAAUUUACACACACACACGCACCCCUAUAAAUAUGUGUGUGUGUGUAUUAUCCAGAAAUUCAGCCAAGACAAUUCAAUAAUACAUCCACUGUGCAUAAAAUAAAAUAGUAACAACAACCAUACAACAUAAACGGUAAAAAUCAUUAAUAACUGAAAAUAAAAAUCAUUAUUAACCAUAACUGUAAAAAAUAUUUCAAACAAUAAAACCAAAACAACCUUAAAUAUCCAAAAUUAUUCCAAAAAAAAAACGAAACACAAAAACUGUAUCCAACAUACGAAAUAAAUCGUGUUCUAAAACAAAAGACAAUAUGUCAUAAGCAGUUCUCAAUUAUCCUUCAUUGUCUCCUCUUCCAAUCAUUUUUCUAAUAAUCAAUUUCAUUUGCACCGAAUUUGCCAAUAAGCACCGGAUCAUCAAACAUCCUUUUCACAAUGUAAUUCUUAGCAGUCUCAUUGAUAUUGUUGUGUUUGACAUCUAUCAUGAAUAAAAAGCUCUUGUUAACAAUGGCAGAUAUUGCUGAAGGUAUGUUAUCCUUAGCUGCAAUUGACUGAUACAAAAAUAAUAAACGUAAAAACAUAUAAGUUAAUCAAUUUUGAAAUCAUGCGACCUAAAAAUGUGAACAUGGAAUCAAUUUAAACCAUUUAGUAUGUAUAAUCUCACCGUUCCUUGAGAUAGAACCAUAUCAGAGCAUGAUACCCUAAAAAAACCCCGAGCAGCCUUGUCAAACACAUUAAAAGUUCCAGAGUUGUUGCUAUCAUCAACUUUGAUAUCGAAUCUAUAUCUGUAAGUAUAAAGAAAACUUAUAUUGUUGAUAAAAAAAUUUAAAAUGGUAAAUAUUGAAUUAAAAAAAGAAUAUACUGUUUAGAAAUAUAUAUGUGACCACCUUGGAAUCACUUGGAGAUUGUGACGAUUACAUGCUUGACAUAAGUAAACACCAUCUGAAGGUAUAACCUUUUGCAUGCAACGACAACAUGAUCCAUACCACCAGCCACUUUCCAGAACAACUUCUUUUAUAGUACCAAGGACAACAUAUGUUGCAGGCUGGUAUAAACAAAAAGUAAAUCUUCCAACAUUUAAUUUAAAUUUUAAAAUAAAAACAACUAUAUGUAUUUAGUUAUAAUAAAUGACAUUAGUAUAUUAUUUUUAUAUACAGAUCGUAGUAAUUUAUAGAUGUUUACCACAUCAGUGACGGCAAGACCACCAAUAGUCGCCUUAGGAGUAAUACUAAGUACAUGAUCUUCAUGAGCUAACAUAUCUGAAUGGCUCAAAAUCUUAACUUCUGGGAUAUCUUCAGGUUUUUCGAAUUUGUAAUCUUUUAUUACAUCCUGAAUGAAGAAUGUUUUCUUAACCUUUGAGAACUCAUUAAAGGUUAGAUGAUAUCCAUGUGAAGUGGUUCUGAUAGGCAUUACAUUCACAGAUGCAUUGAGAUUGGCAAAAAUAUAAAUUUCACCUUCCCUAAUAUGUGUAUGGAACAUAUUAUAAAGGGAUCUAGGAACUGACACGCCUAUUUUGUUACCCUGUUAGAAAAAAAUGAUUUUAUAUUAGUAAACAUAUUACAUAACUAUAUAAAUCAGUAAAAAAGAAACCACAAUAAUAUGGUGAAAACCAUGAAAAUACCUUUGAGUCCAUUACAAUAAGUUCAAUAGGGCAUGGUGGGUGUUGGUUAUUAAUAUCAUUAACACACCAUAACUUAAUAAUACAUCCAACAACACACCAUAAAUCCUUUUGUGUACUGACUUUAUCUAUCGAAUCAUAAAAAUCAGACAUUGUUGAUAUUUUUACCUUUGAUGGAUGAUAUUUUGAAUGAAAUUUUGAAUGAAAUGAGAUAUGAUUUUGUUAGCUCAUCAUGAUGAGUAUAUAUAGAUAUAAAAAGUUGUAUACAUAAUGGAAUGUGUAGUAAUGAGAAAUUAAAAUCAUCUAAUAAGUUUUAUCCAAAAUGCAAUUAGAUCCACUUUUUUUGGUGUCAGCAUGUAAAUUAUUGAUAUUUCGAGAUUAAGCGGAUGAUAUUGUGAAUUGUCAAUAAAUUGGAACCUAAUGUUGUUACCUUUUUCUAAUGAGUAUGAGUAUUAUAUAGAAUAUAGAAUAUAUAGAUAUAUAGCUAUAUAUAGAUAUAAAAAGUUGUAUACAUAACAAAUUUUAUUAAUGAGAUAUUAAUGUGAUUUAAUAAGUUUUUCCCACAGUAGAAUUAGAUCCCCUGAUUUUGGUGUCAGCACGUAAAUUGUUGAUAUUCUGAGAUUAAGUGGAUUAUAUUGUGAGAUUAAUGUUUUAAUAAGUUUUAGCACAGGUGAAUUUAGAUCCCCUUAUUUUUGUGUCAACACGUACAUGAUCUUAUAUGAACCUAACUUGGUCUAAGUAUUUAUACAGUACAAAAAUGUACAGCAUAUAUAGACUAUAGAAUGAGAUAUAUUAAAUAUAUGAGGUUUUUUUUUAAUAUAAAUAUAUUAGAAUAUUAGAAUUGUGUAGUUUGUUUAUAUAUUGCUUAAAUGAGCCUAAUUGUAUUAGUCGUAUGCUUUACCCAAGGAUUUUUUUUUAUAAAAUCGUUUAAAAUUUAUUUUAUAUGGUGUCUAAAGUGAAACUUUUUAGUAGAGUGUUACAUUUGAACUGGACCUAAGAUGGAUUAAAUUAAAACGUUCUAACUCGUAUUUUUAUUUUACACGGCAAAAAAAAAAAUUAUAACAUUCUACCUAUUUUACUCGUAUUUUUUUUUAAAAUAAUCACGUGUCAUUUUUUUUCUUCUAAUUAAAAUUUAGAUGCUGGCGUCAUGUGUCAAAUAUUUUUUUUUUUAAAAUAAUCAUGUCAUGCAGUACAUGACUAAAAACUAAAAAUAAGUAGCUUCUACUAAAGUUAAUUUCACCAGCUUCUAGUGCAUCUCACACAGCUUUUUGACAUGAUCAUCCUUCGAGACCCAUCCAUGCCAAACUAUUGAAUUUCGUUUAUUUUUUUAAUUUAUAGUCAUUUUUACUUUUUGCAGUAAGAUUAGUAGUAAAAUUCUCAUCCCAUAAGUGGCAACCACAUAAACAAAAGUACUGAUAUAUGAAAAUACUGACACAUAAACAUCGUUCAUAUACGGAAAUAAUAUGAAAAUACUGAACAAUUAAAAAUUACCACAUAAACAAAAAUAAUCUUCAAAACCCAGUUUUGAGAACCGGAGAAAAUCAAACUGACAGCAUUAUUAUUCUAUAGACUGAAGACGUUUGAAUGAUUGAAUGAGUGCAUCAUCGUCCGUGACUUUUGAAACUGGAUAAUACUUGUCAGCAUCAUCUUCUGCACUUACUUUGGUAAAAAUCAUGAAUAAAUAGCAUUUCCCCACCAUAUUUGAAAAUGACUCAGGUACAUAGUCAGGCACUGCAUCCUAUAUUUAACAAAAAUAUUGACGUAAUUAGAUUAAAAAACAAACAUUUGGUUUUAGUGGUAUAUGUUCAAUGCAACUUUUUUAUUUUUUAUAAUUUAUAUCACCUUUCCAUCAUAUUUCAGCAUUUGACUGCAUGACAUUCCAAAAAAUUCUGCCGCCAUACGAUCAUGCAUUACAAAUGCAGCCGAUCCCGUGGGGUCACUCACAUGAAGCCUUAUCAUAUAUCUAUAAGUAAACAAUACAGAAAACUAAUUAUAAGUCAUGCGCGCAACCAUUUAAAAUCGCAACUUUGCUAUUAGUAUGUUUUGAAAAAUUACCUGUAAUUGACCAUCAAAACAUGCCUAUUACACCUCUCACAAUAAUACUUGUGACCGUCAGGAAUCACUUUCAUAUUGCAUACACAGGAUAGAUACCACCAGUGACAAUCAGGUUCAAACGGUCCAACUUUGGCAAAUAUGACAUACAUUGACUCCUAAAAAAUUUAAGUAUAUUAAUCCGAUGUACUUUAUAUUACUUAUUAGGUGCAUAUAAAUCAUUGGCCGUGACAGUUACCGAUGCGCAACUACGUAUAUCAUAUAUAGUAGAUCUCUUGUUUGAGUACAACCAAUCUUUUGAUAUAUGCAUUUUUGUAGUUUCAUUCAUGUCAUAUACUCCAUUGCAUGGUGAACAUGUGAUGUCCGACAUCCUGUAGAUCCAAAUUACGUUUUAUUUUGUCAUUAAAACAUAAGUUGGAUGACGACUACAUAUAUAAACAAUUGUAAUUAUGAGGAAUUUAAACCUUUGCUUUAAAUCUAUAGCUGCGUCGUAAUUUGGAUUGAAUAUCAACUUUGUAUACUUCCCAUAGUUAUGAACAGUAGGUAUACCUGAAGUUUUAUACGUUAGGCUUUCGAAAGCAAUUAAAUUUAAAAAUUAUGUUUGAAAUGGUGUAGUAUUACCUUUCCAAUAAUUCAUCUUGCCAAGAAACAAUGCAACACAGACAUUGUCUGACGAUUCAGAUAGUAAAAACUCACUCAACUGGUCAACAAAAGCUCCAUGUAGGAUACACUUAUAACGAUAUCUAACCAAAAACACAAACAAAUAUAUAAUUAUUUUGAAUCCAUUAAUUAAUUAAAUAUCUCUAUUACAAAAUUAUAAGUUUUUGAGAUAAAAACAAACCCAUUAUUGGCUAAUUCCAUUGACACAACUUUUUUCAUUUCACCCUCAAUGAAAUAGUCGUCUUCAAAUUCAACUUUAGACAACAUCCCAAUUACAUCUUAAAAACACAAGUAAAUUUCGUCAUAUAAACAAAUAGUAUAUAAAGUGUAUAAUUAUAUCUAUAAUUUAAUUGAUACUUACCGACCAAAUUUUCUGACCUAUAAUUCUUUGAAAGAAAUGACGCAGGGUGAGUGAAAAAAUAUGAGUAUACAGGUACAUCGUCAUCGUUAACCAUUUUGAUCCUAGUAUGGUCAGUGAAGUUGAGAAAAUAUGUGUGAUGUGUUGUCUUGACCUCUAGCUGGUUAAGUGUAACAUUAAAAUUGUACAUAAUGUAAGCACUAUCUUCUUUCAAGUAAUGAUGGAAUUUUGGAAUCAGAUCCCUACCAAUGUGUGCAUCUAUUUUAUGACCCUUUGCAAAAAAGUUUAAUAAUCAAAUCAGUCACGAACUGCAUAUAGAGAAAGAAAAUGCUAUAUCAUUCAAUUAGCAUAGAAACAGUUACUGCAAAAAAAUCAUAAAACUCACGUAGUUAUCCUGAAGGACCAAGUCGAUUUUCAAAGGCAGACCAUCCCAAUUUGAAUCUGUUGAUUUCCACAUUCUAAUAAUUCUUGCGAAAAAACACCAUUUGUUCUUCUGAUUGUUAAUCUCAAUAAUCGAUUCAUAAUCCUUCACCAUGUUGUUACACCAUUCAAGCAUGUAAUAAGUCAUAUGAUCGUGGCUUAAAAUCUUGAUAUAUAUACACAAAGAAUCAUAGUAGUACUCCAGCUUUGUUAUUCCUUAAUUGGAAUUACGAAAUAAUAAGUAAUAAGUAAUAAUUAAUAAUAAUAAUAAUAGCUAUACAUUUAUUUGAAACAGAUUUACCGAUUUACCGAAAUAAUAAGUAAUCAUGAUAAUAGUUGUAUCAUUUAAUUGUAAUAUAUGUAAUUUAAUAUAUAUACUUUAAUAGCAUGAUGCUAAUCCUGCGUGGUUAAUGGUAAUGUAGGUUGGCAAGGUGAGCAUUAUGAUUAUCAUAUUUUACAAAAGUAAUAGAAACAUCUCACAUGUGUCAAAGCUGGUUUAGACAAAUCUAUAAACAUGGAAGGUCAGUAACCCUCAUAUUGUUAGUACUUUAUUUAAUUAAAACUGAAUUAAUAUAUAUAUAUAUAUAUAUAUAUAUUAUUUUCGCAAUUAUGAAUAGAGAAAUAUCACAUGCAUAUAUUUGGAAUAUAUUUAGAAAUUGCUGAUCAAAUAUGAUUAUAUGAUUAUUGCUUUAAAUAUUGUCAAUACUACGGUAAAAAAAUUAAAGAAUUGGAUUACUAUAUUAUUGUUGACUAUGUACAAUGUACUGCAUCUAAAUUGUUGAUCAAAUAUGAUUAUUGCCUUAAAUUCUGUUCGAUACUACAGUAAACAAAAUUAAAGAAUUAGAUNNNNNNNNNNNNNNNNNNNNNNNNNNNNNNNNNNNNNNNNNNNNNNNNNNNNNNNNNNNNNNNNNNNNNNNNNNNNNNNNNNNNNNNNNNNNNNNNNNNNNNNNNNNNNNNNNNNNNNNNNNNNNNNNNNNNNNNNNNNNNNNNNNNNNNNNNNNNNNNNNNNNNNNNNNNNNNNNNNNNNNNNNNNNNNNNNNNNNNNNNNNNNNNNNNNNNNNNNNNNNNNNNNNNNNNNNNNNNNNNNNNNNNNNNNNNNNNNNNNNNNNNNNNNNNNNNNNNNNNNNNNNNNNNNNNNNNNNNNNNNNNNNNNNNNNNNNNNNNNNNNNUAUCAUCUUCUCCUUGAGUAUGGAAAAAUCAUCAACCUCACUAACAUGCCUCUUGUCAGAAUCGGUAGCAAUCAUCGAUACAUAUUUCUAAUAUAUAGAUAUAUAUUCCCCAAUAUUCAACCAAGCCAAAUAAACCACACAUAUAAAAAAUUAGCAUAAACAACAUAGCAAAACUAAACUAAUUAACAAAAGUCAAUCGACAACAAAUAUCCAAAAUUACAUCAAACAAUCAAACCAAAACAACCGUAACAAUCCAAAAGUAAUGCAAAACACAACCAUAAAAUUCCAAAAGUAAUGCGAAAAUCCCGCGAAAAUAAAUUAUCCAACAAAGCAAAUAAAGUGUAUCAUAGAACAUAUAGACUGAAUGACUUCAAUCUUUCUCAAUUUUGACUUGUUUGAUCACUGGCUCCAUAUUGGGUCCAUCGGAAGUUGAUGCUACAAAAGAAAAGUCUCUCUUUGUUGUUUCCACGUCAUGGAUGUCGGUAGUGAGAUCUAUAGUAUCUGUCCCGGUAUCCACUCCUUGAUCAGUAAAUUUGGCCAUCAAAUCCUGCAUUUAUUCAUAGUAANNNNNNNNNNNNNNNNNNNNNNNNNNNNNNNNNNNNNNNNNNNNNNNNNNNNNNNNNNNNNNNNNNNNNNNNNNNNNNNNNNNNNNNNNNNNNNNNNNNNNNNNNNNNNNNNNNNNNNNNNNNNNNNNNNNNNNNNNNNNNNNNNNNNNNNNNNNNNNNNNNNNNNNNNNNNNNNNNNNNNNNNNNNNNNNNNNNNNNNNNNNNCGGUAUCCACUCCUUGAUCAGUAAAUUUGUCCAUCAAAUCCUGCAUUUAUUCAUAGUAAGGAAAAAAAUUAAGAUAUAUUAACAAUAACAUUUACAGAUACAGACAGAUAUAAACAUGAAUUAAAGUUAAUAUACCUGAGCAACAUAUUCUACAUUAGAUUCAUCACCUUCAACAUCAACUUCAACAACCUUUCCAAUGGAAACCUCCUCAGAAACUGAAUUAACCUAUGAGUUGAAUUCAAAUUAUAAUAAGGCAAGGAACUACCAAAAUUUAAUAAUAAUAUAUACAUAUAAAAUUGUUUAUACUAUUAUACCUUAGGAAUAGCAUUUUUGGCAUUAAAAGCAGACACAAGUUCAGGAUCGGCAGUCAUCUUCUUCACCCGAUAUGAUUUUUCAUAUCUGGUCUCCUCACUAAUAUUUGUCUCAACCUUGAAGAGGUAAGUCUUAUCUACCAAAUCAAGUAUAAGUUUUGGGAUUCCAGUAUCAUUUGCAUCCUAUUUCACAAAUUAAAAAUAGAAAAUCAGUAUACAAAACUGAAGUCAAUUAUAAUUAACAUAAUUGGAUGUACUAAUUACACAUGAGAAUAGCUUAUAUACCAAUCCGACCGAUUCAAUCAUAUCAGCACAGGUCAUGUUCAACAAAUCAACACCAUCACGAUCAAAAAUCACAAAUGUAGCGGAAUCGGUUGAGUCAAUGACCCUUACCUUUAUCCUAUAUCUAUAAAUAUUAAGAAAAAGUAGUCAGAUAAAUACUAAUACAUACUUAACAAUGAAACAAAAGAUAUAAUUAAAAGAUAUGACUUGUUAAUUUACAUAUAAUACCUUGGCGUAACAUUGAGAACGUGUUUGUUGCAUUUUUCACAAAAGUACAUCCUCUCAUCGGGAUAUACUUUUUUGUUACAUAUGCAGGCAGUAUACCACCAAUCAUUAUCAUCGACAAUGACUUUGAUUGUUGCACAGACAACAAAGACACCCUCCUAUACAUUAUAGAUUAUUUAGUAAACGAUAACGGGAUGAAUUGAAUAAGGAAUCUUAAUUUUAAUUUAGGGAGAUAACAUUACCACACGGGAUUCUUUCAAGCCCUCAAUUGUUGAACAUGAAUUUAGUAGUAUAAAGUCUUCCAUGAGGGAAAUCUUUGAAUUGUCUUGAAGGCGAGAUAUACCCGGUGAAGGGGUAUCCUUGUUAUCAAUCAUCCUAAAUGUGAAAAAACAUUAGUUAUUAAUUUGCAUGACUGAUAUAAGUUUCAUAUCGUUUAGUUAUGUAAAAACAAAAAGUUACCUUUUCUUUAGGUCAAUGGCAGCAGAAAACACCGGGUUGAAUAGUAUUUUUGUAGAGUAUAUAGUAUUUUGAACGGUUGCCCUACCUGUAUUGUAUUUUGAAGAGUAUAUUGUAUUUUAAGUGAUGAUCAUAUUAAAAUAUAUUUUUAAUAUCAUUAGGUAAAUCGGAAAAAAAAUAAAAAAUAAAACAGGACAUAUUGAUUUGUGAGUCACCUUGAAAUAUCUUAACUUUAGCCAAAAGAAUGACCAUGACAACAUUUUCAGUCUCUCCUGAUGCAAUAUAGGAAUUUAGCACGUCGACGUACGAACCAAAUAAGGUACACUUGAAUUUAUAUCUGCACAAUAACAACAACCUUAAAAUUAAAAAAAUAUAAGACAUAAAUCAUAAUAAACCAUAAUAAACAAUGAAUCAUAAAGCAUACCCAUCAUGGUCNNNNNNNNNNNNNNNNNNNNNNNNNNNNNNNNNNNNNNNAAUACAAAUUCGGUGGGACAAAACGAUUUUCAGACAAUUUUAAUCUAGUUGCAAAUUGAAAAUUGAGCUUGUACAUAUGUCUCGUAGUUCUAUACGAACCAAUGUUCGCAGCAACACCAAAAUUGGAAAUCAUAAAUACAUUGUCCUCCUUGAGAUCUUUCUCAAACUUAUAGAUCAGUGUCCGACGUACAGUUGCGUGAAUGCGAUCACCCUAUGAAAAACAUAAAACUUAAAAAAUCAAAAUUGUAUACCGUAAAAAAUAUAUAUAUAUAAUAAUAAUAAUAAUAAAUAAACAUCAAUAAUUUGUAAAAUNUUUAGCAUCCAUGAGCACCAUCUCCAUUGAGAAUGGCAGUUUAUCUUUCGCCAUAUCUUUGACAUACCAAAGACGGACGACUCUGACGAUUAUGUUCCAAUUCUCCUUAGCAGGUGUGAUUUCAGAAAUUGAAUCGUGUUUUGGUGCCAUUGGAAAUAGGAAAAUGAAAAAAGAAAAAAAUAGUAGUAAGCUGAAGAAAACAAUAAACGUAUGUUAGUUUUCUAGGAGAUGUAGAAUGUUUGUUAAGUCUUCACGUUUAAAUAGAAUUAAAGGUUGAGCAAUUCUAGUGUCUGCAUAACUUAUUGCCUAAUUUUUAGGAUCGGGAUUUGUGGGAUAUAAAUCAGUUUAGGAAGGAAAUUAUUGAAUAUUGUAAUAUUGUAAUAUUGUAAAAAAAAAUGUGUACGUUAAAAAUAUUUAUAUUUUAUGGGGAAUGGUUUACUCAUUAUUUUCUUCUUCUAUUAUUUUAAUUACCAUAUAUACAAAAACUAUCAUUAAUAUUAUUAGUCAAAAUUGAUGCGAUCCUUAAUAAUAGUAAACGAUAACAUGAUAUGGACAAAUUCACUAUUAAAUGGUAAAUUGAUGGGAUCCUUAAUAAUAGUAAAGGAUAACAUGGAAAAAUUCACGUUUAGUUUUAAUACAUACACGUUAAAAUGGUUAUCAUACACGUUUUAAUAGCAAAUUAAAUAAUAGCAAAUGAAAACUAAAAGAUGGGAUUCUCAUCAAUUUACCAUUAAAACUAAAAGAUAAUCACGUACAGCUAUUAUUCUUAAUAGUGCAAUUUCUGAGAGAUAAAAGUGAGGAUAAUAAGUAAUCAUGAUAAUAGCUGUAUCAUUUAAUUGGCAAGAUAAUUGGAGAGAUAAACGUAAUGUGUAUAUUGUUGCAUCAAUAGAAAAAAAACGUAAUGUAUAUUGUUGCAUCAAUUAUUUAAUAGCUGUAUCAUUUAAUUGGCAAGAUAAUUGGAGAGAUAAACGUAAUGUGUAUAUUGUUGCAUCAAUAAAAACCAAUCAACAAAAUAAGAAUUGGAGAGAUAAACGUGAGGAAUUGGAGAGAUAAAGGAGGUAAGAAAUUAUUGUGAGGAAUUAAAUGUGAGGAAUUAAAUGUGAGGAAUGAGGUUGAAUGAGGAGAGGAGAGAGAAAGGGAAAUAUGUCUGGCUUAUUACAUAUUAUAGAUUUCUAUUACAAACUGUGCAGAGCCUAGUUAGUGGUUACUCUUACUCUAUUUAAGUUUCAUUGCCCCAGGUUCCACUUUUUUAUUAAAAACGUUGGUAUCAUUACCUUAGUAGCUCCAUGUGUCAUAAGCCGUCAUGUGUACCUCUCACUAGUAGAAAAAAGACUUUUGGAUAAGAGAUUCCACUACUGAUAUAUGAAUACCAGUAGUGAAACACAUUUGACCAAAGGAUUCCACUACGGAUAUUUGAAUACCAGUAGUUAAAAGUUCAUAGACAAGGGAUUUCACUACUGGUUUUCUUAAAUCAGUAGUGAAAAGUUGACAGGGUGGCAACUGGCAAUGUUGUAAUUAUAUUGAAAUUUGUUUUAAUUGGAUUUCACUACUGUUUUUGUUUAGACGGUAGUUAAAUCCCUUAACUUGUAACAAAAAAAAAAAACUCCCUUAACNNNNNNNNNNNNNNNNNNNNNNNNNNNNNNNNNNNNNNNNNNNNNNNNNNNNNNNNNNNNNNNNNNNNNNNNNNNNNNNNNNNNNNNNNNNNNNNNNNNNNNNNGUUAGGGUUUGUAUCGGUUAAUUGUUUUGGAAUUUGUCUCGGAUCUGAACCUAAUAUGAUUCAUAGCUUGUAUUAGAAAUUCGUAAUCGUUGAUUAGGUUUUGUUUGUAUCUAGUUCAUGAUACUUUUAUUUCUGUUCCCUGGUGUCAUCAUUUAAAAACAUUUUACUGGUUCAUUAUAAGAUAUUUUUCUGAAGAAACAUUAAACCAUUAUAUAACAAAAACAAAAUUGUUGAAUUUGGAACAUUAUAUAACAAUGUUCUGUGCCUCUAACUAGUUUUAACUAUGUUCAGGUAGAAAUUGUCGUUCUUUCUAAUCCUAUACUAAGACCUCAGAUACUGAAUUUAAUGGUCUCAUAUUGGCCCUAGCAUACCGUCCUUCAUUUGGGAUUACUAGCUUCGUUUCCUAUGCGAUAUCCACUAGGUCCUUAGAUUUUAUUCUAAUGUGGUCAAUAUUAAAAUAAAUAUAAAAUCAGGCGAUAAAAGAGUUUGAAAGUAGAAAUAAUUGAAUUUAUACCCAAAUUAUACAAAACCAAGCAUUCGUAAGGGAGUUUCUCUACUCCACCACUAACCUAGGAAAAAUAAAUUACAAAGACAGAAAGAAAAUAACCUUAUUGGCCUUGGAGUUCCUUGGCCUCCUCCUUAGAGUUCUUCUAACUCUAGAGUGAAUAUUCAAUGUCUCUGAAUAUUUCUGAAUAUUUUUUUGAAUGAAUAAUAGUGGAGGAGGAAUGCUCUAUUCAUAAUUUUUCAUUUGGGUUUUGGGUUUUUCUGCGCGUCCAUCGCACCCAUCGUGGCCACGAUGACAUGUAAUUUUUCCUUAUCGUGGCCAUGAUGGAUCAUAUCGUGGUACGAUGGAAGAUUUCCUCAAGAUUUUCUGUGUGCUUUUGUCGUCAUCAUCGUGCCACGAUGACAGUCAUCGUGGUACGAUGGGAAAGAUUUGUUGCAGAUUUUCUUCAAUUUAAACCGUCUUCUCAUCGCGCCACGCCGGAUCUCAUCGUGGGUACGAUGGUGCGCGUUGUUUAUUAAGUUUUUGCCCUUUUUUGCUACUUUUUCCAUUUUUCUUGUUUAUGGGCUAAGCAACUUCACUUUUCCAUGUAUUUGCUCUCUUUUGGGCUUCAACUACUAUUAAAACCACCCUAAAUUACUACUAAAAACAUCAUAUAAUUGACUGUCAUCACUUCUAAAUAAAAAUUUGAAUAUUAGAACAUAUUAAAAAAGUUUAGUUCCGGGAACCCUGGAGUCGGAGUUUGAACUCUGGACAUUCUACUUAUUCAAUGUGGAUUCUAGCUACUAAGAUAUCCGAUUUAAAAAAAUUAUAACCAUAUAUAUGGGACAAUAACUUUAGUGAAACAAAUUUAUUAAUUUAAUAAAUUUUACAAUUUGUUUUUGAUAAAUUAAGAGCAUCUAGACAUCAAGGUAGGGAUAGACAUCCAACUUUGUUGGCAUUCCUAUCUUUCCCCUUAUCUUUUAAAAGUUUCAAGUUGGUCCCUUAUCUUUUCUGUAGGUUUCAUUUUGGUCUAUUCCGUCAAAUUUUUCACUAUUACCGUUAAAUUUGGAAAGAUGACACGUGUCCAAAUUUAACGGUAAUAGUGAAAAAUUUGACGGAAGGGACCAACUUGAAACCUGCAGAAAAGAUAAGGGAUCAACUUGAAACAUAUUUAAAAGAUAAAGGACCAACUUGAAACCUAAAAUAAAGAUAAGGGACCAAAAAUGCAAUUAAGCCUUAAUUAUACUACAAGUAGGGUUUUAAAAUCUCUGUUAUUUGAUCACUUGCAUUAAUAUUUUCUCCAUUAUAUUUUUAAAGUAGAGUUUUUUUAACUCAAUAAUGUUUGUUUAUGUAGGAAAUUUCGUUAGCAGUAGCCCGUUCAUCUACCGAACAAAUCCUAACCACAAAAUCAUACAAAAUACCAAAAACACUCCAAAAUCAAACAGAAAUUCCAUUAGAUUGCAAUGGAUACAACCACACAGGAAAAUGUCCUAAUCACCAAAUCUCAUUAAACAAUCAAGACCAUCGAUCUAAUUCCACGUGUCCAGAUUACUUCCGUUGGAUCCACGAAGANNNNNNNNNNNNNNNNNNNNNNNNNNNNNNNNNCUUGAUGGUGGUGUUGAUCCUCCACCACUCUUUCGAUAUUGCGGCAAUGAUGCAACUUUGGAUAUUGUUUUCCCUGAUUGGUCCUUUUGGGGAUGGUAAGUAAUUAAAGAUUAUUUCACUUUUUUUUUUACCCUAGUUUGUUUGGGAUCACAGUUUCAUGCAGUCAAGAAUAUCGUCUUUAAA